AAAGUCGUAACAAGGUUUCCGUAGGUGAACCUGCGGAAGGAUCAUUCAUAAUCAAGUGUUUUUAUGGCACUUUCAAAAAUCCAUAUCCACCUUGUGUGCAAUGUCAUCUCACUGGAGGUCAACGGCUGUAAAAAUCCGUUUGGUCACCUUUGGGAUUUAUAUCUACUCAGAACUUUAGUGAUUUUGUCUGAAACAUAUUAUGAAUACUUAAUUCAAAAUACAACUUUCAACAACGGAUCUCUUGGCUCUC
This 250-nucleotide unclassified non-coding RNA is filed under the name fungal sp. RNAcentral's name for it is "partial contains small subunit ribosomal RNA, internal transcribed spacer 1, and 5.8S ribosomal RNA". The stretch from base 1 to 47 matches the Rfam family "Eukaryotic small subunit ribosomal RNA", at positions 1785 to 1831 of the family's 1831-position model. The record is from RNAcentral. Lineage: Eukaryota; Fungi.